UGCCAGCAGCCGCGGUAAUACGGAGGGUGCGUGCGUUAAUCGGAAUUACUGGGCGUAAAGCGCGCGUAGGUGGUCUGUUAAGUCGGAUGUGAAAGCCCCGGGCUCAACCUAGGAACUGCAUUCGAUACUGGCAGACUAGAGUGCGAGAGAGGGAGGUAGAAUUCCAUGUGUAGCGGUGAAAUGCGUAGAUAUGUGGAGGAAUACCAGUGGCGAAGGCGGCCUCACUGGCUCGAUACUGACGCUGAGGUACGAAAGUGUGGGGAGCAAACAGGAUUAGAUA
This 280-nucleotide ribosomal RNA is filed under the name uncultured bacterium. RNAcentral's name for it is "partial 16S ribosomal RNA". It matches the Rfam family "Bacterial small subunit ribosomal RNA", at positions 506 to 784 of the family's 1533-position model. The record is from RNAcentral.